RNAcentral lists this ribosomal RNA (1358 nucleotides) under uncultured bacterium. RNAcentral describes it as "bacterial SSU rRNA". It matches the Rfam family "Bacterial small subunit ribosomal RNA", at positions 28 to 1381 of the family's 1533-position model. The record is from RNAcentral.
GAUGAACGCUAGCUACAGGCUUAACACAUGCAAGUCGAGGGGCAGCAUGGUCUUAGCUUGCUAAGGCCGAUGGCGACCGGCGCACGGGUGAGUAACACGUAUCCAACCUGCCGUCUACUCUUGGACAGCCUUCUGAAAGGAAGAUUAAUACAAGAUGGCAUCAUGAGUCCACAUGUUCACAUGAUUAAAGGUAUUCCGGUAGACGAUGGGGAUGCGUUCCAUUAGAUAGUAGGCGGGGUAACGGCCCACCUAGUCUUCGAUGGAUAGGGGCUCUGAGAGGAAGGUCCCCCACAUUGGAACUGAGACACGGUCCAAACUCCUACGGGAGGCAGCAGUGAGGAAUAUUGGUCAAUGGGCGAGAGCCUGAACCAGCCAAGUAGCGUGAAGGAUGACUGCCCUAUGGGUUGUAAACUUCUUUUAUAAAGGAAUAAAGUCGGGUAUGGAUACCCGUUUGCAUGUACUUUAUGAAUAAGGAUCGGCUAACUCCGUGCCAGCAGCCGCGGUAAUACGGAGGAUCCGAGCGUUAUCCGGAUUUAUUGGGUUUAAAGGGAGCGUAGAUGGAUGUUUAAGUCAGUUGUGAAAGUUUGCGGCUCAACCGUAAAAUUGCAGUUGAUACUGGAUAUCUUGAGUGCAGUUGAGGCAGGCGGAAUUCGUGGUGUAGCGGUGAAAUGCUUAGAUAUCACGAAGAACUCCGAUUGCGAAGGCAGCCUGCUAAGCUGCAACUGACAUUGAGGCUCGAAAGUGUGGGUAUCAAACAGGAUUAGAUACCCUGGUAGUCCACACGGUAAACGAUGAAUACUCGCUGUUUGCGAUAUACAGCAAGCGGCCAAGCGAAAGCGUUAAGUAUUCCACCUGGGGAGUACGCCGGCAACGGUGAAACUCAAAGGAAUUGACGGGGGCCCGCACAAGCGGAGGAACAUGUGGUUUAAUUCGAUGAUACGCGAGGAACCUUACCCGGGCUUAAAUUGCAGAUGAAUUACGGUGAAAGCCGUAAGCCGCAAGGCAUCUGUGAAGGUGCUGCAUGGUUGUCGUCAGCUCGUGCCGUGAGGUGUCGGCUUAAGUGCCAUAACGAGCGCAACCCUUGUUGUCAGUUACUAACAGGUUCCGCUGAGGACUCUGACAAGACUGCCAUCGUAAGAUGUGAGGAAGGUGGGGAUGACGUCAAAUCAGCACGGCCCUUACGUCCGGGGCUACACACGUGUUACAAUGGGGGGUACAGAGGGCCGCUACCACGCGAGUGGAUGCCAAUCCCAAAAACCUCUCUCAGUUCGGACUGGAGUCUGCAACCCGACUCCACGAAGCUGGAUUCGCUAGUAAUCGCGCAUCAGCCACGGCGCGGUGAAUACGUUCCCGGGCCU